UGAAUACGAGACGCUAAGGCGUCGAAGUAGUGUAUGUCAUACUUCCAAGAAAAGCUUGCACUGUCAUAGAUAAAAAACGCCUGUACCAUAACCGACACAGGUGGGUAGGUAGAGUAUACUAAGGGGCGCGAGAUAACUCUCUCUAAGGAACUCGGCAAAAUAACUCCGUAACUUCGGGAGAAGGAGUGCCUUAUUCGUAAGGUUGCAAUAACAAGAUCCAAGCAACUGUUUAUCAAAAACACAGGUCUCCGCUAAGUCGUAAGACGAUGUAUGGGGGCUGACGCCUGCCCAGUGCCAGAAGGUUAAAGAAGUUGGUUAGCAAUUGCGAAGCUGAUAACUGAAGCCCUGGUGAACGGCGGCCGUAACAAUAACGGUCCUAAGGUAGCGAAAUUCCUUGUCGGGUAAGUUCCGACCCGCACGAAAGGCGUAAUGAUUUGGAUACUGUCUCGGAGAGGGGCUCGGUGAAAUAGACUUGUCUGUGAAGAUGCGGACUACCUGCACCAGGACAGAAAGACCCUAUGAAGCUUUACUGUAACUUGAAAUUGAAAUUGGACUUUAUUCGCUCAGUAUAGGUGGGAGGCGUUGAUUAUAAUCUUGUGGGAUUAUUGGAGCCAUCAGUGAGAUACCACUCUUGUAAUGUUAGAUUUCUAACUUUGAAUCAUUAUCUGGUCAAAGAACAGUUUCAGGCGGGCAGUUUGACUGGGGCGGUCGCCUCCUAAACGGUAACGGAGGCGUACAAAGGUUUCCUCUGAACGGUUAGAAAUCGUAUCUAGAGUGUAAAGGCAUAAGGAAGCUUGACUGUGAGACCUACAAGUCGAGCAGGGACGAAAGUCGGUCUUAGUGAUCUGACGGUACUGAGUGGAAAGGCCGUCACUCAACGGAUAAAAGUUACUCUAGGAUAACAGGCUGAUCUCCCCCAAGAGUUCACAUCGACGGGGAGGUUUGGCACCUCGAUGUCGGCUCAUCGCAUCCUGGGGCGGUAGUACGUCCCAAGGGUUGGGCUGUUCGCCCAUGAAAGCGGUACGCGAGCUGGGUUCAGAACGUCGUGAGACAGUUCGGUCCAUAUCCGGUGUAGGCGUUAGAAUAUUGAGAGGAGCCUUCUUUAGUACGAGAGGACCGAGAAGGACAUACCUCUGGUGUACCAGUUAUCGUGCCAACGGUAAACGCUGGGUAGCUAUGUAUGGAGUGGAUAACCGCUGAAAGCAUCUAAGUGGGAAGCCCACCUCAAGAUAAGUAUUCUCAUC
RNAcentral lists this ribosomal RNA (1244 nucleotides) under metagenome. RNAcentral's name for it is "bacterial LSU rRNA". It matches the Rfam family "Bacterial large subunit ribosomal RNA", at positions 1564 to 2818 of the family's 2925-position model. The record is from RNAcentral.